RNAcentral lists this ribosomal RNA (548 nucleotides) under uncultured bacterium. Its description in RNAcentral is "partial 16S ribosomal RNA". It matches the Rfam family "Bacterial small subunit ribosomal RNA", at positions 355 to 895 of the family's 1533-position model. The record is from RNAcentral.
UGGGGAAUUUUGGACAAUGGGGGAAACCCUGAUCCAGCCAUCCCGCGUGUGCGAUGAAGGCCUUCGGGUUGUAAAGCACUUUUGGCAGGAAAGAAACGUCGCGGGUUAAUACCCCGCGAAACUGACGGUACCUGCAGAAUAAGCACCGGCUAACUACGUGCCAGCAGCCGCGGUAAUACGUAGGGUGCAAGCGUUAAUCGGAAUUACUGGGCGUAAAGCGUGCGCAGGCGGUUCGGAAAGAAAGAUGUGAAAUCCCCAGAGCUUAACUUUGGAACUGCAUUUUUAACUACCGGGCUAGAGUGUGUCAGAGGGAGGUGGAAUUCCGCGUGUAGCAGUGAAAUGCGUAGAUAUGCGGAGGAACACCGAUGGCGAAGGCAGCCUCCUGGGAUAACACUGACGCUCAUGCACGAAAGCGUGGGGAGCAAACAGGAUUAGAUACCCUGGUAGUCCACGCCCUAAACGAUGUCAACUAGCUGUUGGGGCCUUCGGGCCUUGGUAGCGCAGCUAACGCGUGAAGUUGACCGCCUGGGGAGUACGGUCGCAAGAUU